AGUGAACGCUGGCGGUAGGCCUAACACAUGCAAGUCGAACGGCAGCACAGUAAGAGCUUGCUCUUACGGGUGGCGAGUGGCGGACGGGUGAGGAAUACAUCGGAAUCUACUUUUUCGUGGGGGAUAACGUAGGGAAACUUACGCUAAUACCGCAUACGACCUACGGGUGAAAGCAGGGGAUCUUCGGACCUUGCGCGAUUGAAUGAGCCGAUGUCGGAUUAGCUAGUUGGCGGGGUAAAGGCCCACCAAGGCGACGAUCCGUAGCUGGUCUGAGAGGAUGAUCAGCCACACUGGAACUGAGACACGGUCCAGACUCCGACGGGAGGCAGCAGUGGGGAAUAUUGGACAAUGGGGGCAAGCCUGAUCCAGCCAUACCGCGUGGGUGAAGAAGGCCUUCGGGUUGUAAAGCCCUUUUGUUGGGAAAGAAAAGCAGCAGGUUAAUACCCCGCUGUUCUGACGGUACCCAAAGAAUAAGCACCGGCUAACUUCGUG
Molecule: ribosomal RNA, 492 nt
Filed under: uncultured bacterium
Lineage: Bacteria
Description: partial 16S ribosomal RNA
Rfam family: Bacterial small subunit ribosomal RNA
Source: RNAcentral